This 497-nucleotide ribosomal RNA is filed under the name uncultured bacterium. RNAcentral describes it as "partial 16S ribosomal RNA". It matches the Rfam family "Bacterial small subunit ribosomal RNA", at positions 28 to 507 of the family's 1533-position model. The record is from RNAcentral.
GAUGAACGCUGGCGGCGUGCCUAAUACAUGCAAGUCGAGCGAACAGACGAGGAGCUUGCUCUUCUGACGUUAGUGGCGGACGGGUGAGUAACACGUAGAUAACCUACCUAUAAGACUGGGAUAACUUCGGGAAACGGUAGCUAAUACCGCAUAAUAAAGUAAACCGCAUGGUUCAAUAGUGAAAGACGCAUUUGCUCCACUACAUAGAGGAACUGCCGUGGAUUUGGUAGUAGGUUAAGUAAAGGGCUACCCAGGCCACGGAUCAGAAGCCACCCGGGGAGGGUGUUCGCCCACACGGGAACGGAAACAGGGCCCAGACUCCUACGGGGGGCGCAAGAAGGGAAUCUCCGCAAAUGGGGCAAAGCUUGACGGAGCAAGCCCGCGUGGGUGAUGAAGGUCUUCGGAUCGUAAGACCUUUUUAUUGGGGAGGAAGAAAGGUGUAAGUAAAUAUGCACGUCUUGACGGUACCUAAUCAGAAAGCCACGGCUAACUACGUG